CAGUAGCCGCGGUAAUACGAAGGGGGCUAGCGUUGCUCGGAAUGACUGGGCGUAAAGGGCGCGUAGGCGGUUUUGACAGUCAGAUGUGAAAUUCCUGGGCUUAACCUGGGGGCUGCAUUUGAGACGUCAAGACUAGAGUGUGAGAGAGGGUUGUGGAAUUCCGAGUGUAGAGGUGAAAUUCGUAGAUAUUCGGAAGAACACCAGUGGCGAAGGCGGCUUACUGGCUCAUACAGGACGCUGAGGUGCGAAAGCGUGGGGAGCAAACAGGAUUAGAUACCCCUGUAGUCCCUGUCUCUUAUAC
Molecule: ribosomal RNA, 301 nt
Filed under: uncultured bacterium
Lineage: Bacteria
Description: partial 16S ribosomal RNA
Rfam family: Bacterial small subunit ribosomal RNA
Source: RNAcentral